GAUGAACGCUGGCGGCGUGCCUAAUACAUGCAAGUCGAGCGAACGGACGAGAAGCUUGCUUCUCUGAUGUUAGCGGCGGACGGGUGAGUAACACGUGGAUAACCUACCUAUAUGACUGGGAUAACUUCGGGAAACCGGUGCUACUACCGGGUAAUAUUUUGAACCGCAUGGUUCAAAAGUGAAAGACGGUCUUGCUGUCACUUAUAGAUGGAUCCGCGCUGCAUUAGCUAGUUGGUAAGGUAACGGCUUACCAAGGCAACGAUGCAUAGCCGAACUGCGAGGGUGAUAGGCCACACUGGAACUGAGACACGGACAAUGCUCCUGCGAGAGGCACCAGAAGGGAAUGUGCCGCAAUGGGCGAGAGCCUGACGGAGCGACGGCGAGUGUGUGAUGGAGGUCUUGGGAUCGUGAAACUCUGUUAUGAGUGAAGAACAUAUGUGUACGGAACUGAGCACAUCGUGACGGUACCUAAUCAGAAAGCCCCGGCUAACUACGUG
Molecule: ribosomal RNA, 497 nt
Filed under: uncultured bacterium
Lineage: Bacteria
Description: partial 16S ribosomal RNA
Rfam family: Bacterial small subunit ribosomal RNA
Source: RNAcentral